GUUGUAGCACCCCCUUUAAAUAGGAAACAAAGGGGGAUACCAUGGGAUGCCAACUCUUGGUGUCCCUUAACUCUUACAUGGUAUUAUUUAAUUUUUUCCAUGGAAACCAAGGAGAUGGUGAGGAAUAAAAGGUGAUUAACUAGCAAAAGGACUCUUCCUGUACUAAGAAAAAUUAAUACACCAUCAUAUGGUGCAUGGGAAAAGAAAUUAACAUGAGAAACAGAG
RNAcentral lists this long non-coding RNA (225 nucleotides) under Elaeis guineensis (African oil palm). Its description in RNAcentral is "long non-coding RNA (EGUI_LNC046640)". Lineage: Eukaryota; Viridiplantae; Streptophyta; Magnoliopsida; Arecales; Arecaceae. The record is from RNAcentral.